RNAcentral lists this long non-coding RNA (222 nucleotides) under Brassica napus (rape). RNAcentral describes it as "long non-coding RNA (BNAP_LNC009754)". Lineage: Eukaryota; Viridiplantae; Streptophyta; Magnoliopsida; Brassicales; Brassicaceae. The record is from RNAcentral.
AAUAUUUUUUUUUAAUAUAUGGAGACAAAAAUUUCAAUAAAGUUAAAUAUUUUCGAUCAGAAGACUUACUAGACGACUUUAAGACUUCAAUAUUUUUAGCGGGAAACUAAAAUAUUUUUAGCGGGAAUUAGACCCUAAACAUAACCUCUAAACUAAAUUAAUUAACUAAACACUUCAUAAAAUCAAAUUAAACUUAAAAAAUGUUUACUAUACACAGAAAUA